CCUACGGGAGGCAGCAGUGGGGAAUAUUGGACAAUGGGCGCAAGCCUGAUCCAGCCAUGCCGCGUGAGUGAUGAAGGCCUUAGGGUUGUAAAGCUCUUUUACCCGGGAAGAUAAUGACUGUACCGGGAGAAUAAGCCCCGGCUAACUCCGUGCCAGCAGCCGCGGUAAU
Molecule: ribosomal RNA, 169 nt
Filed under: uncultured Sphingomonas sp.
Lineage: Bacteria; Pseudomonadati; Pseudomonadota; Alphaproteobacteria; Sphingomonadales; Sphingomonadaceae
Description: partial 16S ribosomal RNA
Rfam family: Bacterial small subunit ribosomal RNA
Source: RNAcentral